RNAcentral lists this ribosomal RNA (567 nucleotides) under uncultured bacterium. RNAcentral's name for it is "bacterial SSU rRNA". It matches the Rfam family "Bacterial small subunit ribosomal RNA", at positions 338 to 916 of the family's 1533-position model. The record is from RNAcentral.
CCUACGGGAGGCAGCAGUGGGGAAUAUUGCACAAUGGGCGCAAGCCUGAUGCAGCAACGCCGCGUGAGGGACGACGGCCUUCGGGUUGUAAACCUCUUUUAGUAGGGAAGAAGCGAAAGUGACGGUACCUGCAGAAAAAGCACCGGCUAACUACGUGCCAGCAGCCACGGUAAUACGUAGGGUGCAAGCGUUAUCCGGAAUUAUUGGGCGUAAAGAGCUCGUAGGCGGUUUGUCGCGUCUGCUGUGAAAACUGGAGGCUCAACCUCCAGCCUGCAGUGGGUACGGGCAGACUAGAGUGCGGUAGGGGAGAUUGGAAUUCCUGGUGUAGCGGUGGAAUGCGCAGAUAUCAGGAGGAACACCGAUGGCGAAGGCAGAUCUCUGGGCCGUAACUGACGCUGAGGAGCGAAAGCAUGGGGAGCGAACAGGAUUAGAUACCCUGGUAGUCCAUGCCGUAAACGUUGGGAACUAGAUGUAGGGACCAUUCCACGGUUUCUGUGUCGCAGCUAACGCAUUAAGUUCCCCGCCUGGGGAUACGGCCGCAAGGCUAAAACUCAAAGGAAUUGACGG